RNAcentral lists this ribosomal RNA (494 nucleotides) under Acinetobacter baumannii. RNAcentral describes it as "bacterial SSU rRNA". It matches the Rfam family "Bacterial small subunit ribosomal RNA", at positions 45 to 530 of the family's 1533-position model. Lineage: Bacteria; Pseudomonadati; Pseudomonadota; Gammaproteobacteria; Moraxellales; Moraxellaceae. The record is from RNAcentral.
GGCCUAACACAUGCAAGUCGAGCGGUAGCACAGAGAGCUUGCUCUCGGGUGACGAGCGGCGGACGGGUGAGUAAUGUCUGGGAAACUGCCUGAUGGAGGGGGAUAACUACUGGAAACGGUAGCUAAUACCGCAUAAUGUCGCAAGACCAAAGUGGGGGACCUUCGGGCCUCAUGCCAUCAGAUGUGCCCAGAUGGGAUUAGCUAGUAGGUGGGGUAACGGCUCACCUAGGCGACGAUCCCUAGCUGGUCUGAGAGGAUGACCAGCCACACUGGAACUGAGACACGGUCCAGACUCCUACGGGAGGCAGCAGUGGGGAAUAUUGCACAAUGGGCGCAAGCCUGAUGCAGCCAUGCCGCGUGUGUGAAGAAGGCCUUCGGGUUGUAAAGCACUUUCAGCGGGGAGGAAGGCGUUAAGGUUAAUAACCUCAUCGAUUGACGUUACCCGCAGAAGAAGCACCGGCUAACUCCGUGCCAGCAGCCGCGGUAAUACGGAG